AGAAUCAACGCUGGCGGCGUGCCUAACACAUGCAAGUCGAACGCGAAAGCCCGCAAGGGUAAGUAGAGUGGCGCACGGGUGAGUAACACGUGGACAACCUGCCUUCGAGUGGGGAAUAACCUUCCGAAAGGAGGGCUAAUACCGCAUAACACCUCGGGACACAAGUCUUGGGGUUGAAAAGAGCAAUUUGCUCGAAGAGGGGUCCGCGCCUGAUUAGCUAGUUGGUGAGGUAACGGCUCACCAAGGCUUCGAUCAGUAGCCGUCCUGAGAGGGAGCACGGCCACACUGGAACUGAGACACGGUCCAGACUCCUACGGGAGGCAGCAGUGGGAAUUUGGCAAUGGCGAAAGCCUGACCAAGCAACGCCGCGUGGGUGAUGAGUAUCUGGUACGUAAAACCUUCGGACUACGGGACGAACCUAAUCGACGUACCUGACGGAACGACGACCCCGACUAACGUCCGUGCCGAAGCACG
This 474-nucleotide ribosomal RNA is filed under the name uncultured soil bacterium. RNAcentral's name for it is "bacterial SSU rRNA". It matches the Rfam family "Bacterial small subunit ribosomal RNA", at positions 26 to 519 of the family's 1533-position model. The record is from RNAcentral.